UAUUAUAUUAGUAUUGAGUUGUUCGAGUACACGAAUGAUAUAAGUGAGUCUAUGAAUUAAUGAACACAUUAAUUGAUUUGUUUUCAGUUUAAAAUUAUUUAUUUAUCGGUCCAUAAAGGAUUUAUCCAGAAACGAUUAAGAGUCUACAAACACAUGCAUUAAUACUGGAAUAUUGAUGAAAUGUGGAUUUUUUAAAUUAAUAAAGAAAACGCUGUGUAAACAGGAUGAUAUUUCAAAUAUUAGCUAUUCUUUGCGUCACUCGAUCAUGUUUGGCAGUGACGGUGAUAAUAAACGAGAAGGAGGUAGACUGCAAUGGACAUUGUGCUUGCUGUGAAGGAGGGAAGACUGGAUGUGUAUUCGCUGAUGGAAAAUCUGAUUAUUGUUCUAAAGGAUGUGUAAACACAAUAUACGGACACAGAUGCAAAAACUCAUGUCCUCUUAACUGCAAUACUUGCGAAAAAAGCGUUGGCAGGCCGUGUUUCACUUGCAAGGAUUCGUUUUACGAUAUAAAUAGUGCUUGUAGCAUGAGAUGUCCUGUUUGGUGUGAUGGUCCUUGU
Mya arenaria is the source of this 557-nucleotide long non-coding RNA. RefSeq lists it as uncharacterized. The transcript is spliced from 3 exons. The record is from RefSeq and is a predicted model, not a curated record. NCBI's taxonomy places the organism in Eukaryota, Metazoa, Mollusca, Bivalvia, Myida, Myidae.